GACAGAGGGUGCAAACGUUGUUCGGAAUUACUGGGCGUAAAGCGCGUGUAGGCUGCUCUGCAGGUCGGAUGUGAAAGCCCUGGGCUCAACCUAGGAAGUGCAUUCGAAACCGCGGAGCUUGAGUCUUGGAGAGGGUCGCGGAAUUCUCGGUGUAGAGGUGAAAUUCGUAGAUAUCGAGAGGAACACCGGUGGCGAAGGCGGCGACCUGGACAAUGACUGACGCUGAGGCGCGAAAGCGUGGGGAGCAAACAGG
Molecule: ribosomal RNA, 253 nt
Filed under: uncultured bacterium
Lineage: Bacteria
Description: partial 16S ribosomal RNA
Rfam family: Bacterial small subunit ribosomal RNA
Source: RNAcentral